This 465-nucleotide ribosomal RNA is filed under the name uncultured bacterium. Its description in RNAcentral is "partial 16S ribosomal RNA". It matches the Rfam family "Bacterial small subunit ribosomal RNA", at positions 28 to 507 of the family's 1533-position model. The record is from RNAcentral.
GACGAACGCUGGCGGCGCGCUUAACACAUGCAAGUCGAACGGAAAGGCCCCUUCGGGGGUACUCGAGUGGCGAACAGGUGAGUAACACGUGAGUAACCUGCCCUUGACUUCGGGAUAACUUCAGGAAACUGGGGCUAAUACCGGAUAGGAAUCCUUGCUGCAUGGUGGGGGUUGGAAAGCUUCGGCGGUUUUGGAUGGACUCGCGGCUUAUCAGCUUGUUGGUGGGGUAGUGGCUUACCAAGGCUUUGACGGGUAGCCGGCCUGAGAGGGCGACCGGCCACAUUGGGACUGAGAUACGGCCCAGACUCCUACGGGAGGCAGCAGUGGGGAAUAUUGCACAAUGGGCGGAAGCCUGAUGCAGCAACGCCGCGGGCGGGAUGACGGCCUUCGGGUUGUAUACCGCUUUCAGCAGGGGCGAAGCUUGUGGUGACGGUACCUGCAGAAGAAGCACCGGCUAACUACGUG